GAUGAACGCUGGCGGCGCGCCUAACACAUGCAAGUCGAACGAUUAAAGCACCUUCGGGUGUGUAUAAAGUGGCGAACGGCUGAGUAACACGUGGGCAACCUGCCCCUUUCAUUGGGAUAGCCACGGGAAACCGUGGAUAAUACCGAAUACUUCGAGACUUCCGCAUGGAAGACUCGAGAAAGCUCCGGCGGAGAGGGAUGGGCCCGCGGCCUGUUAGCUUGUUGGUGGGGUAACGGCCUACCAAGGCAAUGAUGGGUAGCUGGGUUGAGAGACCGACCAGCCAGAUUGGGACUGAGACACGGCCCAGACUCCUACGGGAGGCAGCAGUGGGGAAUCUUGCACAAUGGGCGAAAGCCUGAUGCAGCGACGCCGCGUGCGGGAUGAAGGCCUUCGGGUUGUAAACCGCUUUCAGCAGGGACGGGGCGAAAGUGACGGUACCUGCAGAAGAAGCCCCGGCUAACUACGUG
Molecule: ribosomal RNA, 467 nt
Filed under: uncultured bacterium
Lineage: Bacteria
Description: partial 16S ribosomal RNA
Rfam family: Bacterial small subunit ribosomal RNA
Source: RNAcentral